AGAGCGAACGCUGGCGGCAGGCCUAAUACAUGCAAGUCGAACGGACCCUUCGGGGUUAGUGGCGGACGGGUGAGUAACACGUGGGAACGUGCCCUUUGGUUCGGAACAACUCAGGGAAACUUGAGCUAAUACCGAAUGUGCCCUUCGGGGGAAAGAUUUAUCGCCAUUGGAGCGGCCCGCGUCUGAUUAGCUAGUUGGUGAGGUAAAGGCUCACCAAGGCGACGAUCAGUAGCUGGUCUGAGAGGAUGAUCAGCCACACUGGGACUGAGACACGGCCCAGACUCCUACGGGAGGCAGCAGUAGGGAAUCUUGCGCAAUGGGCGAAAGCCUGACGCAGCCAUGCCGCGUGAAUGAUGAAGGUCUUAGGAUUGUAAAAUUCUUUCAGCGGGGACGAUAAUGACGGUACCCGCAGAGAAGCCCCGGCUAACUUCGUGCCAGCAGCCGC
This 445-nucleotide ribosomal RNA is filed under the name uncultured bacterium. RNAcentral's name for it is "SSU rRNA". It matches the Rfam family "Bacterial small subunit ribosomal RNA", at positions 26 to 518 of the family's 1533-position model. The record is from RNAcentral.